CAAAUAAAACUUGUAGAGAGACCAAUCAUUACUGAAAUAUAGAUAUUCAGUGGAAGCGGGAUAGUAAUGCUGAUGUAAGCAUACAGAAAUAGAGGUAGUGGAGGAAAGGGGAUAAAGAUGAGAGAAAGAGAGAGAUUCCUGGCAAAAUUUAACUUGCGUAAUUGGGUCCUAAGACUUUUUCCUUCAUGAGGCGAGGCGUAAGCCUCAUAGCAAACAAAAAAUUCAAAAAUUUAUUAAAAUACAAAUUAAGCUCAUAAUACAUCAUAGACAUUCUUGAAAAUUCACAAUAGAACAAUUUAUAGAGUGCCAACAAACAGAAGAAGAAUCUUCAAAGAAACUAUUGUUUUCAUUGGUGGGGAUAGUACGCCAUUCCCAACAUAGGUUUUGUGACAGUAGGCUAUUCUCAAAAUGGGUCAAUUAGAUUUUUUAUGUUGUGUGGGCCACAAGCCUUAAGGCGGUGCUGUGAGGUGUAUGCCUUAUACAACAGAGGCACACUCCUCAAAAAACUAAGCCUUGCGACAUUUUUUGCAUGCCUCAUUAUGAGGCGGCCUUAAGGCAGGUUUCAAUUGGAUUUUUUAAAAACAUUUAUUGGUGCCCCAGCAAGCAUUGAACUAAGUGACAGAAUGAAAUUUUGAAAGAGGUGCAAAAAUUACUCUAAUACAUUCAGAUAUCCUUAUAGGCUGUAAUAUAUCCUUUCUAGUUUGUCUAGUCAUUAGGAUCUUUUGAAUAGCUGUACAUUAUUUCUUUUCUAUCUUGUAAUUUCUAGUCCCAUAUAUCUGUAUCAUUCUUUUCAAAUUAACAGAAGCUGUUAAGCCUUUUUAACUGGAAGAAAACCAAUAGUAAAUAUAUAUCCUGGUACGGCUGAAGGAUUGAAAGUGAGACGUGUUUCUAACACAAGUUUUAAUUAUCCAGUUUAGCAAAGUACACACCUGAAUUUCGAGAACAGCUUCACCUGUUCUUGUAGGUUGCCCUCCAGCUUCUGGGACCAAAUUUUUGGCUUUGUGACACUAAAAUAAGCAAUUAAAAAAGAUGUUUAAGUUUUCCUUGCAUGAAAUAUGCUGAUAUCACACAGGAUUAGCUUGUGCAAGUCAUGUUGAUAUAUUCAUUUCGUGGGAAGAUCUGAUACCUCAUCAAAUAUGAUUAGACCAUCAUACUGGGGUCCACACCAUUGUACAAGCUGCUGCAAACGAGAACGACCUUUUUCAGAAGAUGCUAUGAGGCUGCUAUACGUCAGGAAAACAACUCCUUCCCUAAUGCCAACGGACUUCGAAUCAAGCUUAGAAUAAGAAAGCUUGUUCAAAGCAUGCACUACAAAGUAAAAGUACAAGGAAACCAACUCAGAAAUCCUCUAAACCUCAAAAACUUUAGUUAACUCCUAGCAUACCCUUAUACAAAAAGUAUGAUGUCAAUUAAAUUCGAAACAUCACAAGCAGAAAGGUAUAAAAUUAAAAGUCAGGAGAUUGAGACCUUAUUACACCACCUUUUACGUAAAUCAAAAAAUGAAAACCUUGAUAUUGGUUGACCAAGUGUAGACUAAAAAGAAAUUUGCCCUUGCUUAUUGCUUCCAUAUGCAGAUUUAUUCUCUGUUUUUCCCCUUCCUAUGGUUUCCACUUUCAAAUUGGGAAAUUAGUUCCACUAUUGUGCUUCCGUCUAACAUCAAACACCUUCAAUUAAAUGGCCACCUCACCAAUCAGUCUCAAAAUAGAUGGAAGGACCAAAUUUGAGAAUUUAAUAUUUUUCGCUAAGUCCAGAAGGUGUUUCCAGAAUCUAGACAUAUUGAUGAGGACAUCAUUUUUUAUUCACUUCUAGUUGAACUUUAUUUAUGUUUUAGAUUAUGUUUAUGUAAUUGGGCUUGUAUUGACCCAAACCCGUUCUAGUUAGGGUUUUGUCUUUACUAUUUAAACCUAAUUUUCCAUGUAAUUUCAUUAUUUUUGAUGAAUAAUAAUUAUUGAGAUUCGUUGUGGCGUCUCCUUCUUCUCCCUUUCCCCCUAAAUUUCUGCUUCUUCUCCGAUUUCUCCCCCCAUUCUAUCCGGUUUCUCACUUCCUUACUUCUUCUUUCUAUUCUUUAAUUCGUCCUGCAUCAAAUUUGAUAUCAGAGCCAAAAUCUGGGUAAUUUUUCAUCUACAAUCCAAAACUUUCUCAUAACCCCUUCCCAAAAACUUGUAGAACAAUACAAACGAAGGAAUUUGUAGUCAGGUAGCAGUCUUCUUUUAUUUCAGUUUUCUUUCUUAGUUGAAAAAAAAAGGUAGGUUACUGUUCACACCCGGAAUUUCCUUUUUUUAGAUUCUUCUGCAAUUUAUUAAAAAAAAUAAAUCGUUACACAUCUGUUGCAAUUUCAGUUCCAUUGUACUGUUCGCCCUUGCAACAUUUUCAUCACACGUUGGCACCAUAUAACAACUACAACAAACCCUAGCCCACCUUCACAAUCCCAAAUCCACGCUCGGACCAUAAAUCCCAAUCCACAAACACAUAAUUCAAAUCCAAACACUCAUAGCCCAGUAAUAGCGGGCCUAUUUAAUCAAUAUCCAUUGACCUUUCAUAACUCAACCCAUUCCCAGCCCAAACAGUGGCAGACAAACCCAAUUCCAAGGCUCUGUCUUCCCCGUCCAUUUACCACUUCCAGAAUCUCAAUCCCCCACGUCGGCGACCACACAUCUGCGAUUCCCACCGACAUCUUCCACGCCGGCAACUCCAUCUGCCUCAACUUCCACUGCUAAUCUAGCCAUCUCCACCAAUCGCUGCCAACAUCUCCAACCCACGACAUCACCGUCGCUCCGUCAUCACUGGCAGGCAAAUACUCGUCUCCGGUAGCCUCAUCGCCGUCAUCAUCUUCUUCAACCCUAACCCAUUUGGUAUCAGAGAAACUCUAUAGUUGUCUUCAUUCCACCGCCACCCGGUUUGCACCAGUACUCACUCUAUAUGCACAAACCCACCAUCGCUGCACCCAAAGCCACCAGCACUUAUUUUCACAUGCACAUAAAUACCACAAUCAGUCCAUAAAUACAUACAUACACAAUACUCACAACCGACUAUAAAUACACAAUCUCAGUUCUAUUGGAGUGAAAUUGAAAAACAAAAUCAUUACCACAACUUGCUCACACCCCCAAUUCUAAAAGUAGUUGACCAGCAACCAAAGAGAUCAGCACAACACAAUUAACCCAGUCACAACCACUAUCGUAUACUCAUGACCACAGGCAAUCCCGUUGGCCGAAAAUAAUCACUAAUCCACCACCAAUCCAUCCGGAAAGGGAUUAAAGCCAGCAACUGAGUCUUAGCGAUAUACACCAUAACCAGCAAAAUUAUAGUCAACAGAAGCUUAAAAAAACGUUGGACACAAAGGAGGGAACAUAAGCAUACUUGGGGCCCACGCGUUGGCAAUUCAGACCAAUCGGAAUACUCGAAGUCACAACCGAACUACAAGGAGUCACUGUUUUUAUCCAUCUUUAGUUUACACUACUACAUUUUAAAAUUGCAUCAUUUAAAUUCUUUGUGUUGCUGUUAUCUAUAUAAUUUUAGCCUUAAACCCCACGUGAUCGGAAUUAUUGAACGAAUUGACUUUUCAUUGUUCCCCACUUAUCAACGUGAUUAGAGACUUUAACUAGUGUUUGAUCAUUGCUUUGCUAUUUUACAUGUACCAGCAGUAUUAGCUUACUUUGGAUUUAUUUAAUCCCAAAACCUAAAAUUAAAAAAAUGGUUCAAGUUUUUAAUUUCCAUUGCUUGCACUUAUUGUUCAUUGAUAUCUCUAUUACACGUCAUUUAGCUGCUAAUAUAGUUAUGUAUAGUGGUCGGCUAGUCGUCUUAUCACUCCUUGUUUCAGUACUUAGACAUGGACUCUUCACAAUUUAAGGCACUCACUAGACAAUUGGCUCAACUUGUCACUAGCCAGCAACACUUACAAACUCAAUUAACAGCUUUCCAAACCGAGAUGGUUGCUACUCCUGAAAAGAGCAGAGAUCUAGUUGCUAAUCUGAACAAUUUUAAGCAAAUCCCUCAUUCGAUUGAUAUUAAUAAUUCUAAAGUGUCCCACAAUAUACAAUAUUGUCGUCGACGAGGUGAUCAAAAAUAUUUUCAAUACGACCGUAAGGAUAGGGAUAAGGUGAGUGAGCGAGAACGAGGCCAUAUUCGUCAUGGUACUCAUUCUCUUUCUCGUCAUAAGGAGAGUUCCUUUAGAGACACUAAUUUAGACACUCCUACUUUUGAUGGUUGCUUAGAUUUUGAAGUUCUUACUCAAUGGAAUGCCCUUAAACAAAGGAAGCAGUUAGUGACUCAGUAUAUUGCUCAAUUUGAGGAGUUUCGAAUGAAGCGUCAUGUCAUUGAGGAUGAGGCCUUAACUUUGAGUAAGUUAAUACAAGGUCUAAGAGAUGAACUUAGGCGUGAGUUUUUCUUUCGAGGUGUCAUUACUCUUGAUCACGCUUACUCUUUAGCUCGAGACUAAGAGUUACUUAUUAGUGCUCCAUAUGAAAAGCGUAGUCACAUCGUUCACUUGUCUCAUCAGCACCACCUCAUCAUAAGUCUAUUAUAGGACCUUCCCCAUCUAAUGUUCAUCUCAUAUCGACGCCGCCUCCUCCUAUUAAGUCCCUUCUAGGACCCCUAUCUAAUGCUCCUCUUUUAUUGGAAAAUAAGGGUCAAGGUUUUGAAACUCCAAUGAUUUCUUCUCACUUGCAGUACUUCAACUGUAAGGACUAUGGUCACACUUCUCCCUAACCUCCGAGUCAAACGCUAGUCAUUGAGGAACAAAAUGAUUUAAUAGAUAAUCGGUUAGAAGAUCAAAUCUAUAAACCUAUACUUGAAAAAUGUGAUGACUUGAAUGAUAUUGAUUACGCUCUCUUAGAUAGUAUUCGGACUUUUCUUAUGAAUCUAGGUAUUGUCCCCCUUGAUCUCGAUACCUCUCAAUCAAGUGUUGUAUGUCGUACUCUUAUCCAACCCAAAUAUGUCGAGGAUUUGCGUAAUCAUGCCAUUUGCAAGGAAAAUCUGGGACAUUGAAAUUUGGUCCUCCCGAUUGUUCAAAUUGCAUAUAACAAUUCUAUAAAUGGAUCUAUAGGUCUUAGUCCUUUUGAAGUUGUUCUUGGUUAUAAGUCUAGGAGACUGUUAGACCUUAUUUCUAUGUUCCCACAUACUAGUGUGUCGAUGUUAGCUGGAGCAUUUGCAAGUCACAUUCAUGACUUGCAUAUUAAGAUCAAUAAACAACUUGACACAAGUAAUGCAUUAUAUAAACUUCAAGCUGAUUUGCAUAAACGACAUUUUGAAUUUAAUAUUGAGAAUUAUGUUAUAUUGCAAGCCCAUAGUGCUGGUCCUUGUGAAAUUAUAAAGCAUGUUGGUUCAAAUACAUAUAUCAUCGAUCUUUUAUCACAUUUUGACCACCAUUCUAUUUUAACUGUUAAGGACUUCGUUGCUUACAAAGGCUAUUUUAACCCCUCUGAUAAUCAUUUUCUACCUCCUUAUUGAAAUUCCUACACUGAAUCUUUUGAUAUGUCUACUUCAAUACCAUCUGUCACAGCACACAAAGAUAAAAUUGAUACUAUUUUAGAUGAACGUGUUGUAUUGACCAAUGAUGGCAAGAUUCAGUACUUCCUUAUUUGUUGGGUAGAUCGACGUGCUUCUCAUGCUCCCAUUAUGUACAAUCAUGUGAAAAUUUUGACAAUGAGGUGCAUGAGUAUUGGUUAUUUGGAGUCCAGUAUCACUACUUGAUUAGAAGGAAAGAUCACCACCCUUGGCCAAAUCAUAUUCUUGGGAAUAAGCUACAGUUUUCAAGACUAUCAAUCAUGAAAUUUCGAUACUUGGUUCAUCAAAAAGAUUGUCCUCCGUGGCUUGACUUGAAGCAUUUGGAGUAUCAGAUUGACUGUAGCCUAUAGUGAUCUAUCAACUCGACGGGGACGAGUUUUUCUCCCACCCCGGGAGAGUUGAUGAGGACAUCAUUUUUUAUUUACUUCUAGUUGGACUUCAUUUAUGUUUUAGAUUUUAUUUAUGUAAUUAGGUUUGUAUUGACCCAAGUCUGUUCUAGGUAGGGUUUUGCCUUUACUAUUUAAACCUAAUUUUCCAUGUAAUUUCAUUAGUUUUGAUGAAUAUGAAUUAUUGAUAUUGGUUGUGGCAUCUCCUUCUUCUCCCUUUCCCUUCCCCCUAAAUUUCUACUUCUUCUCCGGUUCCUUCCCCCCCCCCCUUCUCUCCGGUUUCUCCCCCUUUCUUGCUUCUUCUUUCUAUUCUUUAAUUCGUCCUGCAUCACAUAUCACCUAUGAUAGUGUAUGUCUUGAUAAAUAGUUCAGUUCAAAUGUGUGUGCAACUGAAUGCCACCUUCCCUCCAAUAAAAUAAAAAGAAACUCAAUGACCCCAAACAUAUGGAAAGACAGGAACAUGAGAAAAUAACAACCCCAAUUUCAAGGCAAUUAACAGAAAAAAUUCAUGAAAAAAAGCAGCAUGUACCUUCUAUACACGUUGCACCCACGUCAUCCAAGUCUCUCCUAGAAUCAAAUUUCAAGUCUGAACCAAUGGAAAUCCACCUGCAUAAGGUCAUUAUAAAAACGAAAGAAAAAAAUAUAGAACACAGGUUUAAUUAGACCUCAUGAUACCAAACUUGCACUAACCAGUGCAUAUCACAGAACACUUACAAUGCUUUCCUUCUCUCUUGGUGCCAGUUCUCCCAUAUUAACCCUGCAAUAGUCCGUCCUUUACCCACACCUGCACCAUCUCCAAGAAAAAAUCCAGCCCUUGCACCAUUAGGAAGGUGCUGGAGAUGCCUCUGUCAUGGAAACAAGAAUAACAUUGUAAACAUUAAAUACAACAUACAUAUGUCUCUAUGUGUGUCAAGUUGUACAAGCAACCUGACAAGCAUAGACCAACGUUUCAAUUUGCAAGCAUGACAGUGCUUUUGAAUUUUCCAGGUCAUCCUUUAUUCUCAGAUCAUAAGUAGGUUCAGGAGGCUGCACUGCAGAUAAGGAAGAUGUCUCCACAAUAGGAUCUGGAUGGGGAGGCCCGAUGGACAGUUUGGGAGGACGCUGAAAAUGCAAAGAAAAACAGGAGAAAAUUUAAAAUUGUCCUCCUUAAGGUCCAUAAAUUCAAAAGAACGGCUCAAUGCAGAGUGAAGGUUGCUAGAGAAAACAGAUUAUUCAAGGAGGAUAAGGACUCAUACGUAAUCCAUGAAUGUAUCUCCCACCGUUCCACCUUCAUCUUCUUCGCGCUCAACUUCGAUGGCUACCUAAAUGGCGUUAUUUCAAAAGGACAAUAUCAAAAAUUUAAUGUAAUUCAGGGAAAAUACACUAUUGAAAGAUAAACUCUAAAACAAGCAACUUCUAAAGAUGCAAUUUGUAAUAAAAAAUGAAAUAGUUAGAAAAUUCCGUAUUAAACUCACAGAGAACUCAACAAAAUAUCUGCAUGUGCCAAAAAUGUGUUAGGAGACCCAACUUUAUGGGAACUUUUAAGCAAAAUGCUUCAACUAAAGGAUCUAGAUUUUAGAGUUCCUUCCCUCCAAAUCGACCAAAUUAAGACACUUGCAGUUUCAUUUAAAGUCUCACUCCUUCAUCCUCGUUAAAAGGAUUAUAAAAUAAGCCUCAAUAACCAUAAGCACGACCAAUCUCACCCGUAACAUGGUAAAUACAAUGUUUUUCUCCAACUAAAAAAAGAGACAGGCCCAUAAUUGGGUCAUCCUCCCUUACUGUAAAUCAAGGUCUUUGGACUAAUGGAUGUCUCCUGCACAAGUAAUCAUUUUUUUUUUUUUACAAAGUGAAGGAGACUACUGUCGUAUUACCCUGAUUGUAAUGCUAUAUCUUCUUAAGAGAAGAAUGGUUCCAUAAGGUCCCUUCAAAAUUAUCUUUUCAAACAAGAGCCGUUGAAACGGAACUCAACCGGCAUCAUCUAACUUUUUCGUUCCAAUAUUUUGGUUCAGUUCUCUUCCGUUUUCUUCUAUGAGAAAUGAAAUAACAGAUACAGCCAUACAGGAAAAGCAUAGAAUUAAUAUGGAAGCAUUUUUAAGGUAACUAAAAAUGGUAAAACUCAUUCUUAGAGGGAUCCGAGGCUGAUAAUUCAAUGAGUAUAAUUAGAGUCAAAUGACAAAUAAGCAAUGUACAAAAAUUCCUUUUUUUGGAUGAAAGGAGGAUCGUAUUAAAAUCGAUGAAUCGGAAAAAGAAAGAGAAAGAAUAGAUGUUAGAUCUUCCUGCAAGAAUGUGUUUUUGGAUGCAUGAGGGGCAAGUACGGGUUUUGUAUGACUAAAAGCUCCAGCAUGUACUAUUCUAUAAGAUAUUUCAUUCUUAAUAAUUACUUCUCUAGCAAGGAAUAAUAAUUUUGCGCAUUAAAUGGGAUCUACAGUCAUUUGCAUUGAAUUCUAUUAUAUUUUCUAUUAGGACAUGGCAAGCUUGCCAAGUUAAACAUAUAAUAAUUACAAAGGAACGUCGAAGUUUAAAACAUGAAAAACAAAGGUCUUGAGUCAUUUGAAAACAGGUAAUUAAUGAAAACUAUAUUAAAGUUCGUAAGGACCAAGUUGCCACUAUACUAUCCCAAAUGUUUACAAUUUUCUGUAAAACUCUAAACAUUUUCCGAGUUGCCACUGAAUUUUCUGAAAUAUUUCGCAAUUGCAACUUUAAAAGUUAAGCUCGUUAACUUUUAAAAUGGAGCGUGACGGAAAUCAAUACUUUUUUGACGGAAGUCAAUGUGAUGGGUACUAGUCCAAAUGUUAAAGCUGAAAUACGAGAUAAGAAUGUAUAUUCCAAUGAAGUAUCUCAGUGAAGAAUGACAAGGUUUAAUCUUUGACACUGGAAAGUCACCUUUCACUAACUUUUGUAUUUUCGGUUCUUCCAAUGAUUCAACAUCUGAACUUUUUAUUCUUAUUAAGUAGGUCUCUUAACUUUAAACUAUCAGUUGAGACUAACCAACUGAAUAUGCAGAAGUAAUAAUCUCACAAAACUUCACAUGAACCACAGUGAAAUCCCCGAGGUAAGAGGGUUUAUCUGAAUAGACAUCACACGAAUCUUAAUUGCUGAGAUUGGAGCAAAUUAUUUAUGAAAAAAUCCACCUAUAAACCAUUCAUAAUGGACUAUCAUUUAGUCUUUUCGGCAUAAAAAUUGCAAUUAGCUCUGAGUAGAGAUUCCUUCAUAAGGCAAUCCAUAGCUAUUACUUACUAAACAGAGCACGAUUAAUCAUGAAUCAAUAUAAUGCAUAGUCAGUAGUAUGAUACGUUCCCUCACUCAAAAAUCCACAAGUGUAAUACACUUAAUUGGUAAUGUCCCGCAAAUUUUUAUAAAUGAUCCCCAGACUUGGCUAUCCAUUUGCACGGGAGUCCAAAAUUCACAUUCACAGCAAAGAAAUCCAAUGGCAUUCAAACAUUCCAAUUUCCAUGUCACUACAUACUUUGCAACCACAAAAAAUUAAAAGCGAAAAAUAGGAGAAAUAAAAUGAGGAAACCUCAUUGACUUCUUCAGAAGGCGGGGGCAGGCGAAAAUCCGGAGAAAGAUGUCGAAACUUUGAGAGAUCGACUGUCAGUUCAAUGCCGCACUGAGGACAAUUGAAGCGUGACAAGCCAUGGGGAACAUUAAGCAAGGCCUUGCAGUGCGCGCAAGGCAGCUGUAUCUUCGUCGGAUCAAUGCCGUAGGCCUGAACGUUGCGCUGUUGAUGGGCCUCUGCCUGGUUGGGCUGCAUCAGCUCGGGCGGCAGCAUUUGCGGCAAUUUGCAACUAGGGCACGCGAACUCCGUCAAACCCGGGCCCACUGUCAGAACCAUCUUGCAUCCCGCGCAACGCACCUGGCAACCCCCAACGUUUCCUCCGGUAAAUUGGGCGGGAGCUGGAGGCGGUGGCGUUAGAGGAGGCGGAGGAGGAUGGGUAAUCGGGGGCGGCGGCACCGAUGGCUGCCCCAUUUAGAUUUAUUCUAUACUCCAAAAAUUUGUAAAUGUUAUUGAAAUUGAAAAGAAAAAAUAGUAGAUUUGAGGAAUUAUUACAGUGUUACAGAAAAUUGGAGGAAUUUGAUGAAGAACGGGCAAAGGGAAUAAUGGAUUUUCGCGGUGGGUGCGGUUUCGACGAGCACUGUGCCGAUUCUCGAGUCUUGGCGCUCAAUGUGUGCAUGCGGAGUCACCUUAUUUCAACGGCUCAUUACAAUUGUACUCUCUUUCUACCUUGGCUCCGGGGGAUUUUCAUUUUUAUUUCUUUUUUUCCUUAAUAGAGGGAAAUUUGAUCUGCCACUAUUUGUUCUACCACUUUUGGAAGCCCCUCGAUUAUGUCACCAUAUCUCAAUUUUACCUUGAAAAAUUAUACAAUUACGUCAUGAAGAAUUAGCCGACCUACUAAUGAUAUAAAUAUUACCGUUGCUUUGACUUUACUCACAUUAGUGUCAUAUUUCUAUGCGGGUCUUACCAAAAAUUGAUUAAGUUAUUUCAGGAUAACCAAUGCUUAAAUCCGACUCUACCCAAAUUUUACUAGUUCGCCCCAACAUUUCUCAUUUGUCUAGCUGUUGCUGAGCAGUUUUUGGAUAUCAAACGGGCUUCCCCAAAUGAUAAUUUGGUCGAUUUUCCCUCUUUUACAAUUGAUUACGUCCAAAGUAUAAUGCGGCAGUUAUAGUAUGGCUUUGGGGUGUCGUAUUCACAGGGAGAUGAGAAAUUUGUUAAAGGAUCAAAAGUUUAGGAUUUUCUUAGUGCUUUGUGUAAGGAAUUUAUCAGCUUGAAUGGAAUGUAACUAUCAAUUAUUGAAGUAACGAAAUUUGAAUCGAUGUGUGAAAUAAUGAAGCACAUGAAUUCCCUCGAUUGAUUUGGAUUAAUCAAUGUGAAUCACUCUUUCAAAUCACUUUGAGAAACGACAAUAUACCUUAAGUAUAAUGCAGUAAUAAAAGCAUCAAUAAAAUUGUAUGAAAUUAAAAUUCAACAAAUACUUAAUUUCACAAUAGACAAAACAUGAAUAAGUCUAUGAGAAAUAUAAUAAAAGUUAAACCAAUCUCACAACAAUUCUUAAAGUUGAGACCUAAAUCAAUUGAAUUUCACUUAUAACUCUAGAAUUUAGAUUUCCUCCAAGAUAUUCUCACUUUAAUUCAUUGGAAUCAGUUUCAAAAUCAAUCAUAUACAUCAAGCAUAUAAUAUAAGUGAAUCACACCAAUGGGAUGAUUGAAAUUGGAAUUCAAUACAUACUUUAAUUAUUCAAUGAAAAGAACAUUAUUAAAUCCAUGAAAAUCUAAUACGUAUUAAACCAACUUCAAAACAUAUUCAAUAAACAGGAAAUCAUAAACCUAUAAUUGUUUAUCAAUGAAAAACCAAAUUACAUGCGUGAAGAGACAUUAACAUAAUCGGCACCAAUCGAGUUCAUCACUUGCUUUACCAAAGUUUUCUUAGUCUUUCAUGGAGUUUCUUGGCUAAAGAUGAGAGAAAAAUGGAGUCCAGGUUCAAUCCCCCACGUUUUGGAGUGUUUUUGAGCUUAAGAAACGUGUCAAAACGUAUUUCCAUAAGUUAUAACAUCAAUUUAGGAAUUUGGCAAAUUUGGUCUUGGAGGAUAACUAUGCGACCGCAUGGUUAUAAGCCAUGCGAUCGCAUAGAACAAAUGUGUGGAGCCCAAAAGUUCCCAGGACCCUUCUAUGCGGUCGCAUAGCUUUUGAACUAUGCGACCGCAUAGUUCAAAUUUUUUUGGCCGGAUAGUUUUUAAUAUUUUAUGGCUAUAACUUUUCCUUUCAAUGUUCGAUUGAGAUGAUUUAAGUUGCCUUGGACAGCUAACUCGAAGGGCUACAACUUUGCUUCAGAAGUCAACUUCCAAUUCGAUCAUUUUUCAUGUCAAAAAUGGGUCUUAAUAUAAGGCUGAAAAUCGGUGCGUAACUUUUUCAAUUGGGAAAUGAUUUGUGAAGAUGUUAUGAUCAUAUUUUACUUUUUUUGACUUCAAAUUACACCCAAUUGACUUCUAACUUUCUUGAAUCAUCAUUUCAUCGCCUGUCUCAUUAUGGAUUAUUUGUAACUUGGUUUCUAAACUUUCACUUUCUUCCACUUUGACAAUUUUUACUCAUUUCUUCCAAAUUUCAUAUUUUCCAUCAAAUUGCGAUCUAGAUCAAAACAUAAAAGUAAUGAGUAUAUUUUAUCAUCAAAUAAUUACACAAAUGCAACAAUUAAUAGGGGAAAAUAUCAUAUUUUACACUCUGAUCAACAAUCAAUUUCUCUACGCACUUUCACAUCUUCUUAACCCAAAAUGAAAUGGGUAGAGAGGGGAGAGGAAAUGUUCCUUUUUUUUCAGGGUACUCCUGGGAACAAUCCAGUGGAGAAGGGUGGAGCCUGUAGCUCAAAAGAUUAGAGCACAUGGCUACAGACCAGGGUGUCGGGGGGUCAAUCCCUCAUUGCCCACAAUCGGCCACUGGCGCAAUUCGCAGAAUUAGAAGCCUUUGUACAAUUUGCUUUGGAUGUCGACGAAGUUACUCAUAAUCAAUUCCCAAAAGGUCAAUGAUUACGUGAAUUGCUUGUCUCUAGUGUCUUAAAAAUAUUUUAAAAAAGUGUAAGGUAAAAUAUGACUUUCAACAUUGAGCCCUUGUUUGAGCUCCAUUAUGAUUAAUUUUUGUAGAAAAAUCGUAUUUUGUAAUAGUAAUUUUUUGAAGAAUAUGUGUUUAAAAAAGAAAAAAAAAUUUGAGUUUACAUGUAAUAUAAUUUUAUUGGAAAAUGUGUGUUUAAAAGGAAAGAGAGAAAAAUACAUUUUAAAAUUAAUGGAGCUCAAAGUUCACACAAGGGCUAAUGUGAUGAAAAUCGAAGGGUGAGCCUCAACAUUAGGUUUAUUGUUGUCGCCUUCUUCAACUAUUUGUAAACAAUUUUUAUUAGUAAGACUAGUUAGUGAACUUGCAAUUGGUUAGUCUUUAAAAUACGUGUAUGUAAAUUUUAGAAAAAAUCAUUUAUAAAUUUGAAAGGUAUUUAUAAAUUUGAUGAAAAUGACUUAUUUUUUGUCAAUUUUUUAUGUAUAUUUUUUAUUAUUCAUAUGAACCUUUGAGAAUUUACAUAUAUUUGUACCAGGCAUUUCUCUAUACAAAAGUUUGUGAAAAUUUUUUUUAUGCGAAAUAUAUUUCUCUAUAUAUAUAUUAGCUCAGCUUGAAAUAUGAUUUAGCCCACUCAAACUUUGCCCCUAAUCGAUACUAUGAUUAUAAUAAUUAAAUAUCACCAAAAUAUACAAUAUAACAAUAUCUACACUAUUUCAUUACAUUUUUUUUAUGUUAUGUUGGCAUCCAUCAUGUAGAAUCCUAAAUUAUAACUUAAAAUGUUAAAUGCAAGUUCAUGUAUUAACCUUCUUCCGAGAACUUGAUUUUGUUGUCAUUGGAACUUGACUGUAAGAUUGCAAAAAGUAAUUAGAACAUUAGACAUAAUGUAGACAUGGGCAUAACCAUAAAGGGAGAAAACCUCUCCAAACUUUUCAAAGUUUAAUUCAAAAGAAUUUUAAGUCGAACAAAAAAUUAUUUAUUAUAUGAAGAAAAAAGAAAUUUUUUAAAUUUUUUUCGAAAUAUAUAAUAAAAACAAAACAAAUUAAAGAAAAGAAAGUUAUGAAAAUUAAAUUAAGAAUAUAUAAAUAAAAAUGUUAAAUGCAAGUUCAUGUAUUAACCUUCUUCCGAGAACUUGAUUUUGUUGUCAUUGGAACUUGACUGUAAGAUUGCAAAAAGUAAUUAGAACAUUAGACAUAACGUAGACAUGGGCAUAACCAUAAAGGGAGAAAACCUCUCCAAACUUUUCAAAGUUUAAUUCAAAAGAAUUUUAAAUCGAACAAAAAAUUAUUUAUUAUAUGAAGAAAAAAGAAAUUUUUAAAUUUUUUUCGAAAUAUAUAAUAAAAACAAAACAAAUUAAAGAAAAGAAAGUUAUGAAAAUUAAAUUAAGAAUAUAUAAAUAUUAUUUAAUUAAAAUUAAAAAAUUAAGUUUUAUCAUAAAGAGAAAAGAAUUUCGAUUUGUUUUCAUCGUGGGAGCAAAAACGAUGCGUAUUGCCUUCAAUGAUUUCUUUAUUUUCACAUAUCACUUCACUGUAACCAUCACCUCUACUGUAACAUUUCUCCAUUUUCAUACGCCACUUCACUUCAUCCAAUCCAAUACUAAUAAAGAAAAGAAUCUAGAUGAUUUAACAAAUUAAAGAACAAAAAAAAAAAGAAUUGCAAGUAAAAAUAGAAAAAAUAUUAUUAUAAAGUUUUUUAAUUAAAUUGAAAUAAUAAAAAUGAAAAAUUAAUAUUAUUUUUUAUUAAAAUUGAAAAAAUUACAAAAAUAAUUUUAAAUCAAAAAAAUUAUUUAUAAUAUGAAAAAAAUUAAAACAAUUUUCAAAAAAUAUAUAAUAAAAACAAAAGAAAGUUAUGAAAAUUAAAUAAAAAAAUAUAUAAAUAUUAUUUAAUUAAAAUUGAAAAAAUUAAGUUUUAUCAUGAAGAGAAAAGAAUUAAAAAGAAUUUUAAAUUGAAAAAAAAAUUCACUUAUAAGGAGCACAAAUGAAUCACAUUCAAUGUACUGCAACUCGAAUAUAAGUAAACCAAAAAGGAUCAAAAUUUUUAAAAUCAUUAUAAUUUUUUUAAAAAAUUAACCUUGGUAAUAUCUGAUUAUUUUGGUCUUUAAAGUUAUCCAGACAAUCUUACUUAUCAUUAACACUAUGAAUUAGUAAAUAAUGAAACAAAAUGAACUAUAGCACGAGAAACAAAUCACAAGUAAAGAAGAUUUUCACUUACAAUGAGCACAAAUGAACCCCCUCCAAUGUAUUGCAACUCGAAUUUGAGAUUUCAAUUUUUUGAAAUUUUGAACAGAAUAAGAAAUGAAGAGAAAGAAGACGAAUAAGAAGAGCGAUAGAUGUAUGAUAGAUUGAGUGAAAAAUGGAAAAAUUCAGUUGCCCAUACUUCCUUCCAAUGGCCCAAUAGGGAUGGCAAUUUACCCCGUCCCGUGAAGAAAAAGUAAAAAAUAAAAAAAUAAUAAUAAUAAUUUUAUUUUUAGACAAUUUAUCCGUUAAAAGCUCAUUUUAAAUUUGUAUUUUAUUUUCUAAUAAUAACAUAAUUCGAAACUUUCAAAAUAUAAAAAAAAUUAAACAGGACAAAAAAUUGCCCUGUCCCCGCCCUACCCUAUCUAAGGUGGGGCAGAGUUUUGACCAAACGGGGCGGGCCAAUGCUUUCGCUCUUUUAUAUACAUAGGAAGUAAAUUAGCCUAUUUAAUGAGUUUAACGUUAGCUAAUAAAUAAAACACAUCUUAUGAUGUCAAAUCAUCUUUUAGGGAUAUAUUUAUACGUAUCAUAUGUCUGGGUUUCAUUUUAUUUACUAACAAAAUACUUUUCAAAAUUAAACAGUACUUCUAAUCUCACAUUUGUAAAAUCCAUGGGUACUACACAUUUAUUCACUAAUCAUUUAUUGGAAAGUAAAAUUUUAGCAAAAGAAAAUGAAAUCCAAAUAUAGGCUUAAUUUUAUUGUCAAAAUUUAUGAAAUAGUAAAACCAUUAAUUUUACAUACAGAGUAUUUUAUUAUAUGAAUGUGUUGUUGAAAAUUAAUAUGUAGGAAAAAAAUAGAAAUUUCAAAUAAUGAUUAUCAAUUAUGGGCUAAGUUUGUCGUUGUCCCAUUCAAUAAACGAGAGCACUUCAACAAGUUUUUAACAGAUAAAUAAAACUACAACUUACGACACCAAAUCAUCUUUUAUGGAUAUCUUUAUACCUAGGCUAUGUAUGAGUUUCAUUUUUCACUAAAAAAUAUUUUUCAAAAUCAAACAUUAUUUUUGACCCCACAUUUGUACGAUUCAUAAAUACAAUUCACUUACUCAUCACUCAUUUUUUGAAAAGUAAAAUUUUAACAAAGAAAAUGAAACCCAGACAGUGGUUUGAUUUUACCGUUGAAAUAUUUUCAAUAUGAAACAUUAAAAAUGUCUGAAUUUGAUGGACUAAGAGAGUCUCCAAUAAUUUUCUUUUUUAUGAUCUUUUUUCUCCAAUAGACUUUAUACAUCUCUCGUUCUCUUUAUUUUAGAUAGUUAAACUCUUUAUUUAUAAAAAUUAAUAACAAUAGUUAAUAUGACUCUUCAAAUAGGGCUAGUGGUAGCAAUGGGUCGAGUCGAGCCGGCUCGGCCCUUAACCUCACACUCGCGGCUCGUUUUCAAUGAGCCGAGCUUGGGCUCCGUUCGUUGAUUUUGAGACGAGCUCGUGGGUCGAGCAGAGCUUUGACUCGUGGCUUCGUCUUUUUUUUUUUUAAAUAGAGAAAAACACAAAUAAUGUAAUGAAAACACUUUUUUAAAAAGUAAAAAGUGUUAAAAAAAAUACAAAUAAUUUAAUGAAGACUUUUUUUAUAUUUUAUUUAUAUCAUAUUGUAAUAUUUUUUAUAAAGUAUAAAAUAUUUAUUUAAUGAAAACGAAUUGUUUUUUGAAAUAUAUUUACAAAAAAUAUUUUUUUAUUUCUUUUUAAAGUAGAUAAAAUGUAAAUCCUCCUCUUUUAUCCGGGUUUGGGACCGGCCACAUCAAUUUUAAAUAAGCGGAGUUAAAAAUUGUACACGUUACACGAACAACUUGUUGUAACGUGUACAAUUUUUUAAAUAAAAUUAAAUUUAACGAUUAAAAAAUAAGGAAAUUUUGAUUUAUAUAGUUAAAUCAAAUAUCACUUACUUGACGACAUACAAUUUCAGCGUAUUUAUCUUGUAGUCGAAAAUGAGCGUCCUGCUAAUCUUUCAAGCACAUUAACAUUUUCAAAACAUCUUUUUCUAGUCGGCUCCUCUCCCGACAUCGGUCAAAACUCUUUUACCUGCACUUAAAGCAAAUUCCAAAGCAAUAGUGCUAAUUGGAGGUGUCAGCAGAUCUUUCAUAAUUGCAGAAACAAUUGACCAACGUCUUUCAUACUUUCGCCAGAAUUCAAUUACUUCUUCUGAACUUUUUUAAUUAUUCCGUCUGUUGGCAUAUUAUGAGAAGUGAUCAAUUAACUAGGCAGGCAUCACAUUUUGAGUUUCGGCCAAUAUCAGUUGCAUCAUAUUUAAAUGUAUUAAUGCCUUGAAAUAAAUUCAUUAUUUCGACACCAUCUUCUUCAAUUUUAGCCGAAGGAGUAGGUGCAGAGGGUAGCCUACUAACAUUCGCUCCCAUUCUUUCCGCAGAUAAAUUAUAUAUUACACAUAAUGUUUGCUCUAAAUUCUUAUAGGUGAUAGAUGUAUCAAAUAUUAAGGUUCUAUUGAUUUGAUCAAUUACGUAUUUAAUUCCUGAAAUAUUAUAUCGAGGGUCCAUUGCGCAUGCUAAUGGAAAUAAUAUACGCAGUUCUUCCUAAUAUUUUCUAAACUUUAAUUCCAUAACGAUUAUAAUUUCACUAAAAUCAGGAUCAUUUUUAUAUUUAUGGAAUGUUCUUGCAAUUAUAUAAAGGCGUUUAAGCACCAUACAGCUUGUGGAAUAAUAAACGUCAGAUAAAAUCUUUAUGGUCUCAUAAAAAGAUGUUAAAAAUCGUUUAACUUUCAAAGCUAAAACCUAAUCAGAUUCAUUUAACAUACCAUCGUUAUCACUUCUAACGAGUCGAUCGUUAUAAAAGUCAGUUAUUAAAUUUUCAAAACCUUUACAUGACUUUAAUAGCAAGUAGAGUUCCAUCUAUAACCUACGUCGCUAGCAAAUAUUUUAGCAGUCGUCACUCCUAAUUCGACACAAAAAUCUUCAAAUACUUAUUUUUUACUAGGAGAGAUCGUAAUAUAUACUAAUGCAUUCCUAAUCCUUUGAAAUUCAUCUUUUAUAUGUUUUAAGCCAUCUUGCACAAUUAAAUUCAAGAUAUAACACACACAACGAAUAUGAAACAAAUACUCACCAAAAUCAGGUUGAAGUGUCCUACACAAUUUAUUGACACUUUAUUAACACUAGCAUUAUAAAAAAUAAUAGACCGAAUUUUAGUCUUGUAAUUAUAUUCUCUAACAAUACUGAUAAUAAAAUUAUAUAUAUUAUUAGUAUUGUGAGGAAACUCAAUAAUUCUAAAAGAAAUAAUUUUUUUAUGCAUGCACCAAAGUGAGUCUAUAUAGUGUACAGUUGCAGCUAUUUAUGAUAUUUUAUUAACCUCUUCCCAUAUAUCAGAAGUUAAAGAUAUAACACCUCCAUAUUGUUGUAAAUUCAUAAUUAAUUGUUGUUUUGAAUUAUUGAAAUAUUGUAUUGUAUUGGAAUGAAGAGUGUUUCGACUUACCCCAAUGUACAUUGGUUGCAGAUAUUCUUUCACGAACGAGACGAAGUGUUGGUUGUCUGCAAUAGUCAGAGGUAACUCAGUGGCGGCAAAAAAUUUCACCGUUCUGGUUCGAGUAUUGUCCUCCGAAUACACCCACGUAGAUAGGGGUGAAGUCAUAGAACCGGCGCCUGGACUGCCAAUUGCAAUUGUGUUUGACCAUCUGGAAGAAGUCUAUAUCUGGCUGCACAUGCUUUGUAGUGACAAUUGAGAUGGGUGGUACCAAUUCCUUUUUGUCAUGCCAAUCUUUGUUGGCAGUAUUUACAUACUGCUUUAAAUUUUGUAAGGCCAUCGACGAUUUUUCCCGUUGAAAUCAACUUAAAAUGAUCCCAACAUUUUACUUGUUUUUUGUCCUUUCGCUUUCCCCUCGCAUCUGGGAUGUUUAAUUCGACAUUUUCAUCCUAAUGUUCCUCUUCGGGAACGUUAAUAUCAUUCAAAUCAAUUGAAUCGUGGUUUCCCUGACCGUGAAUGUGAACAUCUUUAGAUAUGAGCACGUUAUUUAGACCGACAAAUUCAUUUGGAAAUUGAUUUUGUGGUGUCCUAUGCGAUUCGCCAUGAUGUAGCCCACAUCUCGUAUUGAAUAAGCUCUCAACAAAUGAACGUUAGUCCAUUUGUUUGAUUGUUUAUGAUGAAAUCCAAAUAUAAUAAUUAGAAAAAUAUAAAUGUAGUGAAAUUAUGAGAAUUGAGAAUUGGAUGAAUUGAAAUUGUAAAUAAUAAACUGUAAAAAUUAAAUCGAUAUUUUAUAUUUUGCAGCACAAAAGAGUAAAAACUCGAUAAUUGAUAUAAUAAAAGAGAGUUGAAGUAGUGAUUGAGUAAUUAAUAUGAAAAAAAAGGGGAGUUAAGGGGUAUUUAUAGUAGAAGGAGUCACUUUUUAAAAAAUAACGAGCCGGGCUUGUCUUCAAGCUCGGCUCGCCUCCCGACGAGGCCCGCUCGACUCGCGCUCGGGCUCGUGAUUUUACGAGAUCGAGCCGUGCACGAGCCCUAUUUCAACGAGCCGAGUGGCUCGGCCCUUUUGACAUCCCUAAAUAGGGCUGACAAACUGGUUGAGCCACUCGCAGGUUUGUAGACUCAACUUUGACUCGUUUAGAGAUGAGCUAUAAAUCAAGUCAAGCUCACAUUAUUUUUCACAAGCUAGCUCAUUUGAGCUCUUAGUAUAACUCUACAAGUUACCUUAUGUAGGUUUGUGUGUCAACUUGUUUUUAUCAAUUUUUUAAAAAAUUGAUCCUUUUUUAUCUUAUUUUAAGGGCCAAAGCAACUUGACUCGGUACAUUGUCAUCCCUAUCUUCACAAGUAGAGAUUUUAAUACCUUCACACAAGAUUAUAAUUGCUCGUUUGGCAUGACUUUUGAAAAUUCAAAAGGAGUUUUAAGACUUAAAAAUUGUUUUUGGAUUCGUUUUGUUAAUUUUAUGAAAUUGUUUCUUUUAGUUAGAAGAGUUUUUAAAGGAAGUUGAUUCAAUAUAUAUUCCUCUAAAAAUACUUCCAGAAUAGAAAGCUUUAUUAAAAAUUAGUUUUUCAAACAAAAAUCAAAGCCUUGUUUGGUUCUCAGAAUAUUUUUUUCUCUUUUUUUCAACAACACAUUAUUCAUUAAAAUAAUAUUACAUGUAAAUAAAAAACUUAUCCUUAUUUUUUAACCACACAUUUUUUAUUAAUCUACUAUUCUAAAAUGCAUUUUUUCAUAAAAAUGGAAUUCAAACACCCUUUAAGGCAACUUUCUCCAAAAGUUAUUCUACAGGAAACAAAAACAAAAGUAAAAGUUAUGUCAAACGGGUAAAACUUCUUAUACACUUAUUUGAUAUGGAAAAUAAGUUGGUGAAAAUGAAGGUGAUAUCAAAUUACUCUGAUACCAAUUUAUUGAUAAAAUAUGAAAUUAUAGGCACAAUAUAAAGUAAUUGAUCAAAAUGCUGAAGAACAAUAUAAUGUACAAAGUAAAUGAGAUCAUAGUUAUUCGACUCAACCCGAAAAAAUCGUCGGGUCAACGGGGUCGACGAUUUAACCGGUAGGUUAUUGUUAGACUUUAAUUUUAAUUAUAUUAUAUUUUUGAAAUAAAAAUGAAACAAUUUUUCCGAAAUUUAAUACACACACACAUUGUUCACAUUAAUUGACUAAAGACCAUCAAUUGCCAUAAUGGUCGUGGAGGUAAAAUAUAUCCUUUGUUGUUAGGGUUCGAAUCAAAGUUCUAUCAAAUUUAACUUAAAAUUUUACUUCAAUUCAGUAACCAUUCGGUUCACUCGUUGAAUCAGAUUCGGUUGAUUAGUGGUUUAACUAAGUUCUAACCGAUUCACAUGCUUACUAGAUCAAUUAAAUCUCUCGAAUUGGAUUAAGUUCCAAUUCGGCGGUUCUCGAUUUGGACAGGUUGGUCCGAUCUGAUUUUAAUAACUAUGAAUGAGAUUAAUUAAAAUAUGGAGAAAGAAUAUAAAUACUUAUAUUUAUAUAUAAUGUCUAACUUAAUCUAAAAUACAAUUAGAGUUAAAUAUAUAUAGGAAACAUUUCAAACUCUCGAAGUAGUGUUAUAAAUGGAACAGAAUGCUCAAAACGCAAGAAUGGGCAUGGGCUAGACGAGCCACUGCUUGAGCACCAGGAAGGUGACAGGUGGGCGAUGUUGGUGUCGCUCAAGAGCCAAUCUGGCUCCAGCUUUCUGCAUGAAAUUUCAACGCCAUCGCUUGAGUGGUAGGCUCUAGUGAAAAAGCGUCGAAAAAUUUUCGUGGUCCAUAUCUUGACCUCUUCAAGACCAAUAGAAUUUCCAAAACUCCCAAUUAGGCUUUCAAAUAAAACAUCAACUAGAAAAUUCAAAUAAAUUUUGAAUAGGGUUCCAAAAUAGCAUUCCAUAUAGAAUUUUUCUUAAGUCGACUUUAAUUAUAUUUCUCAAUUAUUUUUCAAAUAGAAUUCGGGUCACACCCUAAUUUAAACAAACUCCACUUUAACAUGAAUUUCAUUGUAAUGAGUAAACUUCAAAGUUCUUCACCAAGAGACAGAUUCAAUUACAAGGAAUGAACUUCAACUUUUCAACAAAAACACAAGCGAAAUUCUCCAUAAAAAAUUUCAACUGAAAAUACUCUCCAAAACUUUGCCACCCAACCAGGGCAAAACUCAAUAACUAAGUAUUAACAAAAUUUCAAGCGAUGGGCUUGCAUAUCACCAAACAAGGCAGAAACAAGCCCUGAAACAUAAUCAUCACAAUUGAAUGAAUCAAAAUAAGGUCAUGGCUAUAAUUAACAUCCUUAACCACAUUCAAACCAUAAUCAACUGAAUCAGCAACAUUGUACCUAUGUAAAUGCUUAAGAUGAAAAUAAGCCUGUUAAUAGCAAUUGAAUACAAAUCGCAUUGUCGAUAUUGGUGGCAAAAUAUAAUUACCCAUAACUUUUGAACUCAAUUAAGAUGUAUUCUUCAAAGACCCCAAACUUGACUCCAAUUCCAAAUUAGCCUGAGUUUUUAAAAUAUGCUCAUUGAUAUGUAGAACACUACAGACAUAUAACUUGGAUUUUCUACGUCAUUUUAUCAAAACAUGGGCUCCUUUACUAACUUUCAAGACUCCACCUUCAACAGUGUAUUUGUACAAUUUUGAAACAAGAGUACUCAAGGAGAUAAAAUUUUUCUUCAAAUCUGGAACGUGUCUAACUGCGUCAAAUAUUCUAACCGUCCCAUUAAAAAUCUUUAUUCUAACCCAUCUAAUAUCAUCUCCUACAAGGUUUAUCAUUUCUUAUUACCACAAUACCUUUCGAAACUAUUUUACAUGUUAAAAAUAAAUCCUAUUUGGGACACUUGAAAAGUGCAAGAUGUAUCAAAAAUCCAAUCUUCAUCAGUUUUGGAGUCAUAGUCAGAAUUAAGUAAAAGUUCCCCAUCACUAUGACAACUUUCUGCAAUUUUGGCUUCUUCUAAACUUUCUAAAUGCUGAUUUGCAGCCAAUUUUUCUUCAUUCGGCAAUUUAUAACAAUUAUUCAUCAGGUGUCAUUUUUCUUGCAAUAAUUACAAAAUUUGAAGUUAGACUUUAAUUUGCCCCUUGUAUAACUACUAUCAACAACGAGGCCAUUUCCAUGAACCUUAGAUCCAACAAAAUGCUUUCAUCUUCUUGUUGAAUAUAGAGUAUCAUAGAAUUUUUCAAUGGUGAGAGUAUAAUGACUAUAUAAGAUCAUGUUUUCGAAAGAUAUAUAUGAUGGGGACAACAAACACAAUAAAAUCAAACCCGAAUUCUCUUUAUCAUAUUUAACCUCCAAGGUUUCGAAAUCAGCGAUUAUUCUUAGAAAUAGUUGGGUGAUCUUCAAGGAAUGUACUUUCUGUCAUAUGAUAACAUAGACGCUGCUUCAGAUGCAAUUUGCUUCUUAGACUCUUCAUCAUGUAUAAUUGCUCCGAUUUCAACCAUAAUGCAGUGGCUGACUUCUCAUUCAAAACACCCUGAAGAAUAUUAUUUGAAAGAUGAAGAUGAAUCUGAGAUAGGGCCUUUCGAUUCCUCUGUUGUUUCUCCUCCUUCGUCCAAAUUGUGGGUAUCUUAUCAAAGCCCAACGACUCAUUGCCCAAAUCUAUUUGAGCGAGUACUACUCGCAUUUUAACCUACUACAAUGAGAAUCUUGUGAUGCCAUUCAAAAGUGAAAUAUCGUACUCGUGGUUGCCAUCACAAAAGAUCAAGUCGAGCCCCUAACUUCAUCAAAAUCUCAAUCUCCCGAGAAUUUUGAAGCCUGACUCUGAUAUCAAUUUGUUGAAAAUAAAGAUGAUAUUAGAUUACUCUAAUACCAAUUUAUUGAAGAAAAUAUGAGACUAUACGCAUAAUAUAGAGUAAUUAAUCACAAACACUCGAGAACAAUAUAAUUUACAGGGUAAAAAUGAUUUAGUAAAAUAUGGAGAAAGAAUACAAAGACUCGUGUUUAUAAAUAAUGUCUAACUUAAUCUAAAAUACAAUGAAAAGCUAAAUAUAUAUAAAAGAUGUUUCAAAUCUAGGAGUAGAGUUAUAGAUAGAAAUGAAUGUUCAAGACGCGCCAAAAAAUGAAAACGGGCCUGGGUCGCACGAGUCACGGCUCAAGCACCAGAAGGGUGCCAAGUGAACGACGUUGUCAUAGCUCGAACGCUAGUUUGGCGCCAAGCUAGGCACCGACUUUCUGUACAAGAUUUUGACAGUGUCACUCAAACGGUAGGCUAGCGAUCAGCUUGCAAAAAAAACAUUGAAAAUUUCUCCUUGGUCCAUACCUUGACUCUUCAAAUCUAACACAAACUUCAAACUCCCAACUAGGCUUCCAAAUAAAAUUUCAAUUAGAAUUUGUCAAAUAGGAUUCCAAAAUAGCAUUCUAAAGAGAAUUCUUUUUUAAGUCGACUUUAAUAGAAGUCUCAAUCAUCUUCCAAAUAGAAUUCGAAUCACACCCUAAUUCUACAUAAGUAAAGAAAAUGAAGAAAAAAAAUGUUGGUCAUAAUUAUUUAUGGAAAUUAGCAAAAUAAAGAGUGACAUAUAGUGUAUUGUAUAAUUCAGUCACUAUUUUUAAAAAAAUUAAGAUAUUCUUUAUAUUACAAAAUAUGAGAGCAUGAUCAGAGAUGUUCUAAUGAUGUUCUCCCUGAUUCAUUAUUUAUUUCUAUUUUUAUCAGUUUUUACAUGAUUUCACAAUUACGUUCGUACUUGAAUUGUUUGGAAUAUUUUGUUUCAACCUCCAUUUCGCAAUCAACUCAUAAACGAUAUAUAAAAUUAGUGAAAAUUAAAAUUUCAUAACCAUAUUCAUAAUUACUAUUCACACACUCACGAGACUCUCCAUUAUCUUUAUAAAUUGACUCAUGAGGCACAUAGUUACAGCUUGAGGCACUGAGGUUGAUGCAGUAAAGGAAGAUCACCAAUUGGUUUUGACCGACUAAAGUAGGAGAGGUCCACAUGUUUUUAAGAUUGGUUGGUUGUUAAAGAAGAAUUAUUGAAAGGUUUGCAAAAAAUGGUUGUACCAAUAAGCCAGUUAACAAAGAUGAAUUUCAAGUUUUAGUAGACUAAUAAGUGCUAGCAAAGCUUAAUGUAUGCUCUAGUACUAACUAUUGUACAAGGAAUGUAAAGGUUUUCUUUAUUUACCUUAACGCAUCGAAGCAAGGCUUGGCAUGCGGCACGACAAGGUUGUUGCUUAUGUGCCUUGAUAAAUAAAACAUUAUAAGCAUAAUUAUCUAACCCAUUUUUUAGAAUUGGUAGCAGUGGCAGUAGUGAUCCAUGCACUAAAGACUUGGAGACUAUCACCAUGGAGGCAUUAUCUAAAAUGAGUUAAAUAUGAGGCAAUGUGGCUCGAGCCAAUCAAUGACCACGAGUGUGCAUUUCACUAUCAUCUCAAGAAAGCUAAUGUAGUUGCUAUAGCACUGAUGAGAAAGAUAGUAGGACAAGAGGCAGUCUUACGUACUAUUUAGAAGUAGUUAUUGAGAGACAAACAAUCUCGGAAUUUCAGCACUCUUGGUAAAACAUACUUUAUGGCUUGCAUCAUGGAGUCUCGGAAGAAGAGAGCCAAACUUACAAUGUAUUGAAGAAGAAAUCGACACUCUGAAAAGGGCUGACCCUUAAAUUUUGGAUUCCCGGUAUGACAUUUUAAAAUGCUAUCCCUUUCGUGUAAUUAAAAACAUAUAUUAAGGAAAAAAAUAUUUCAAUAAUAUUAUUUCAUUGUAAAAAUAUAACAUUUAAAUAUUUGCUUCUUUUUUUUUUUACAUGUCAUGAAUAAAAAAAAGUACAAGUAAAGUUCAAAAGCAACGCCCAACUUCAUCAAAAUAUAUAUGUCAUCUACAAAGAACUGUCUAAGCCACUAACCUCUUCGUGCAAUUUCAUACGAGCAAAUCUUGAAAUAAAAAAUAGCGAAUACCAUUUUUAAGCCUUAAAAUGCAACAAAUCAUGUAAAAAUAUUUCUUCUUGCAUUUCUAGAAGCAAAUUAACCUACUAAUUAAACUUUCGUAGUCAAUAUAUUUUAGCAAACCUUGUUCAAUAGAUAGCUGGCUCAUUCAAUUAUUCUUGUAAUAUGGUUGAUCGCAAAUAAGAUUUUAAUAACUUCAAUUUUGAAAAACUUCUUUUGACAUAUGCAACAGUAAUAUGAAUUAUCUAUGGAAUUCUAUAAGCAAUAAAUGUAUUUGGAAAGCAAUCCGAUUUUUUCAAAUAAGUCAAUAUAUCAAAAGUUUUCUUUAUUUCUUUGGAUUAAAGAUAUUGCAAAAUUUUUAACUUUUAAAACAAAUCUUUGUCAUCAAGUUUGCAAAAAAUUGCAUGUCAUAGAACAAUGUCAAUAUGAUCACUAGCUAUCUCUUGAUUUUAUGUCACGAUUAUCCCAAAUUCUUGUAUAAUAGAUGUUGAAAGGAGUGGACGUAUUAUGAAUUAAACCAUCUACAUCUUCGUUAUUAUCAUUUAUGUUAGGAGAUUCAUCAUCAACAUCUUCACAUAUCUUUUCUUAGAAAUUUUAUCAUCAACAUUGUCAUUUUCAUUUUGUCUUAAUUCCUCAGCAUCUUCAUUUUCAUCAUUUUCACUUUUACUAGUUCCAAGUACUUGGUCCAUAUUUUUCGCUUCUUUAAAAAUAAAUCUAUGAAGAGCGCCUUUUUGAGACUCUAUCAACUCCUCAAUUUUUCUCUUUUUCAUUUGUUUUCCGAAUUUUGAUUGUUGUUUUUGAGGAUACAUUUUAAAAUUUUAUUUUAUGGUAACAAUAAAAAUUAUAAUAAAAGUAUAUAAAGUUCAAAAGAGAUUUGAAAAAAAAAGGAAAAAAAAAAAAGAUAGCACCUAAUUAAAGAUCGAACUGGCAAAAGCUUUAUAAGCUUAAUUAAAGCUAUCUUGAAUCUUCAAAAACCUAAGUACCACCAAUCAAAUGGAAGUGUAGAAGAAUUAGGAAUUAUAAGAAAUAAAAUAAUAUUAAAUAAGAGACAUUAUUUGUUUAUUUGUCUUAUCACUUAUCCUUUCAGAACAAAAAAUAUGAAAUAGUAAUUAACGAGUGGACAACCAACACCAAUAGAAAGACGAUGUUACGAGAUUGUAUUAUUGUAUAGCAAGCAACAAAGACGAAUGGUAGAGUUUCUUCUCUUGUCUAUUUGAUGAUUUUUCGUGGGUUAAAGCGUGGAAGAGAGAGAAAUGACGAAAAAGGAUGCUAGGUUAGUUUUUCACUCUUCACUUUAAUCACUUGAAUCUUUGACUGUUUAUUGUCUUGUUGGAUCAGUAAUUGGUAGGACUAGUAAAAUAGAUAGUUUCAUUUCAUUUUUUUUUGGAAAAUAAGAUAGUUAAAACUUGAAAAAUAAUUUUUUUAAUAAUAUGUUAAAUUAAAAAAUAUUAAUAUAAAUAUUUGUACUCUUUUUUAUAAAUAUUUUGUCCUUUAACUUAACAUAAUAAUAAUUUAAAAUUUUAAAAUUAAUAAAACAUUUUAAAUAUGUAAUUAUAACAAGAAUGUUUUGGUGCCCUUACAAUGACGCCGCCUUAUGCAACCGCUCAACUUUUGCCUCUGACUGUGAAAUGGAAGGAUUACAUGAGCUUGUUCAAUAGUGAUUUUGAGAAUUAAUUUUUUGACAGUUAGAGAGAAAAGUGGGUCUUACCUGUGAGAGAAGAAGUAAAAAAUGACCACUGAAAUAAUAAAAUAACGAUUAAAAAAUAAUUUUUUGGGGAGAAAAAUUAAUAUCAAACAUGCACAUCUCGAGACAAAGCCUUGUACUUUAUAUGCAAAUUAUAUGUGACCGAUCAAAAGGAUCUAAAGAAAGCAAGUUUGGGGGCAGCUCACAACAGUCAGAGUACCAACAUUCGAAGAUCAUUUUUCUUGUUUGGUGAUCUUAAUGCUAAUUAACGAUUUUUAUCAAAGUCUUGAAGAUAACAUUUAUGUUGAUGGAGGCUUGGCAAGAGAUCAGUAAAGCUUUAGGAAUUUUUGAGGUCAUCACCUGUUAUGUCUCACUAACGUAUCAAAGUAGGUCUAGGCAUUUUAAUCGAAACCAAAACUCUCGAACCGAAACAGAACGGGAAUAGAAGGUUUCGGUCCGGUUCCCCGAAAAAAUAAAUUAGGAAAUGGAAUGAGGGUUCGAUUCGGUUCUUGGUUCCUAAAUCAGAAUCGUGGGUACUCGAAUGAACCAAUUUUUAUAAAAAAAAAAAUUAUUUAAAAUUUAUUGGUUGGAAAAAACAUAUAAAACCUAGAGAUCCUAAUUUUGGUAAUAACUAGUCUAAAACUUUAAACUCCAACCUAAAAUAAUAAGAUUGAUUCUUACUUUUUUACAUUUCACCUUACAUCAGAAUGUUGUAUCUCGGAGGUUAUGAUAUGUUAAUAUUUACAAUUUGAGCUUUUUAUAAAUAAAAAAUUUCAAAUAGAUUAUAAUAUAAGUUCAUGAAUCAAAGCGUUCAUUCUUUUGCAAUCCAAGCUUUUUACUUUCUUGUAUCAUUAAUAAAUUUAACUGAUUUUUUAAUUAUUUCAUGAUGCGUGGUAAUUGAAUUUGAUAUAUUCAUUGCUCAUGUCGUGUUGUACCUUUUUGUUAUCUUGAGUUCGUGAUUCUCUUUUUAAAUAUUUAUUUUUUAUUCAAAAAGGGUAAGUUCAAUAUGUAGACAGUAAUUUUUUGAUACUAUAUUAACUAUUUAUUUAUUUAUUUAUUUAUAUCAGUUGGUUUUACAAGUAGAAGAAUUCAAGCAUUGUUCAUAAUUAAAUUACAUGCCUAGUAUGCAUCUCUUAGAGAUCGAAUAAGAUUUAUUAAGAAAAGUGAUUUUCCUCAAAUUAUAAUUUCAUUUUUUAUUUUUAUUUUUCUCCUAUUUUCGUGACUUUUAGUAUCCAAUAUUUUGCUUUUUGAAGAUUUUUUAACUGGAUUUUCUCCAUUGCACAUAUAUUUUCAAGUAGCAGCGUAUUAUGUAUAUGUACAAGGGGUUUAUGUGAAAUAUUUAUUAAAUAAAUGUAUAUAAAAAUGUUAUGGGUAGAACUGAAAUUGAAUCGGAGCCUACGAUUUGGGUUUGAGUUUGGUUCCAGUAUUUACAAAGAUCGGAAUGGUUUCAUUUGCGAAAUACCCAAAACAUAAUGGGUGAUUCUGGGUAUUUCAAUGCCCGGACCGACCCACCUGAUGCCCAGGCCUAUAUCAAAGGCACAAAAUACACUCCGAUGUUUUCGACCCCUCAUCUCGUGCAAAAAGUACCAAUAAUGUCCUUGAAGGUCGUGCAAACUAGACCAAAUUCGGAAAAUAGCAAGCGAGAAAUAUCGUAAGUUUCCUCUAAUCGCUCGCAGGUGCAAGCCAUUAGUAGUGUUUGUUUGCUCAAUCGAGCAAACUCAAAUUGUAUGCCGUUUCUUUCCUUUUGUGCCCUCUCAUUUUAGCAUGUCGUCUUGCCUUGCUCCUACUUGCAAGCAAAGUCAGUAGCAUUGCUUCCCUUCUUCUUAUUCUCUCUUGCAGAAUAAGAAAUCCAUCAAGCCCAACAAAUACACAGCAUCAGUAACAAAUCUGUCAUGUGGCCCAUUUUCACCAGCAGCUGGCCAUCUAAGUCCUGAUAUGCAAAAGACAAUUUCUGAUACACAAGACUAGCUAUCUACUGCAAUUAUAACAGAAUAAUGUGAUGUGUAAUUUUUUCUUUUGCUGCAUGUAUAGAGUUGGUUAGGUUGGAAUAUUCCUUUUGUCUCCUCUAUGUGUAUAUAACGUAAGGUGCCUCUUGUGUAUAAUUCAAUUUUUCAGUAAGUUGAUGAAUAUAGAAUGAGAAUUUCUCUUCAAUCAUUUCAGUUCAUUUCCUAAUUCAGUGUUUUACAUUUCAUCAUUUUCCCAAAUUUACAUGGUAUCAGAGCUUUAAUGGCGGCUCUUGAGAAUACAUCUUCACCUCCUAUUGAAACUCCUCUCGAGAAUACAUCUUCUUUCCUUCAAUCAAAGACCAACCAACAUACCAAUUUUGCAGACCCACUUAAUCCUUUUUCGCCUUGAAACAUCAGAUAACCCAGGAGCAAAUCUUGUUUCUGAUCUGUUAACUACAAACAAUUAUGAAACCUGGUCACGCUCGAUGCAGCGUGCUCUUAGAGCCAAGAACAAGCUUGGCUUCAUCAAUGGAAAAAUUUCCAAACCUCUCAAUCCGACAGAUGAUCUGUUUGAAGCUUGGGCAAGGUGCAAUGACAUGGUAAUUUCUUAGAUUCAUAAUGCUAUCAGUCCAGAACUUCGGUCUAGUGUUGCCUUCAUGGAUGAUGCCUCUGGGAUUUGGAAUGAAUUGGCUGAACGCUUUUCUCUGCAGAAUGCUCCACGUAUUUACCAACUCAAAAGAGCACUGGUCAAUUUGUCUCAAGAGGGAGAUUUUGUUAGUGUUUAUUAUGGUAAACUAAAAGGUAUUUGGGAUGAACUUGCUAUUUAUGACCCAAUUCCAGAUUGUCAUUGUGGAAAGAAAGCUUAAGGUAUUGGUUGAUAGAUAUCAUAGAGACUGCACUUUUCAAUUUUUGAUGGGCCUAAAUGAUGUUUAUGAACAUACCCGAGACCAAAUCAUGCUUAUUGAGCCACUUUCCCAUGUCGAUAAAGUCUUUUCGUAUGUUCAACAGAAGGAAAGGCAACGACAAACUACCUCCACUCUUGCUGGUUCUGACUCUGUUGCCUUUUACACCAGAAACACCAAUCCCAAUUUUAAACCUCAAAACCCACAAAAUACUGAUCCCAAUAAGGAAAGGCCAUACUGCAAAUUCUGUAAAAUCCCUGGUCAUCAUUUUGAAAAGUGUUUUAAAGCUAGUAAUGCAGAGGCACCAAUUUGCAGCCAUUGCAAUAUGACAGGACACAUGGUAGACAGAUGUUAUAAGUUACAUGGCUACCCAGCGAGUCAUAAAAUGCACAACAAGUCUAAGGGAACUGGAAAAUUUGCUAAUCAUGUUUCUGUUCAGAGCAUGGACAUUAAUGGGGAGGAUAAUUGUGAUAGCGUUUCUUUGACCAAAGAUCAAUAGAAUGACCUCAUGGCUUUGUUCAAACACAAGGACUCUCCUACAACUUCACAUGUGGCUAACCAGAUUCAAUCUCUGCUUCCUACUAGUUCUUCUAACUCUCAAUCCACUCCUAUGUCUGGACCUUGCAUCCUGGACAACGAUUGGGAAGGGUAGGAUGGAGCGUGGCUUGUACUACCUACAGCUUGACGAGAUCUCCCCUAAAGCUCUCCAACAUGCCGUCUCUCGACUUUCUUGCAAUUUAAAUUUCUCUUCAGCUUUUGUAAUCAACAAACUCACUGAGCAUGAGUUAUGGCACUAUCGCUUAGGCCAUAUUGCAGAUGCUAGACUCGGGCUUAUAAAAGACUCGUUUGUAACUGCAUCUUUAAACUUGAAGUCACAAACUUCUCUUCCUUGCUCUAACUAUUAUUUGGCUAGGCAACACAAAUCUUCUUUUUCCUUAAGUGAGCACAAAUCAGUUAAUUUGUUUGAAUUAAUUCACUGUGACUUGUGGGGGCCCUAUUCUGUCACUUCACAUGAUGGUUCUUCAUAUUUCUUAUCCAUCAUUGAUGACUUGUCACGUAGUACAUGGGUAUACAUGCUCAAACACAAAUCAGACACUAAGAAAUGCCUUGUGUCUUUUACCAACCUAGUUAAAAAUCAAUUUGGAACUAGAAUAAAAAUACUUCUGAGUGACAAUGGAACAGAGUUUCACCUUAAUGAUUUUUACUCCCAAAAGGGAAUCAUUCAUCAAAAAACGUGUGUCGAAACCCCACAACAAAAUGGAGUCGCUGAAAGAAAAAAUCAGCAUUUGCUUAAUGUAGCACGAGCCUUAUUGUUCCAAUCUGGUGUUCCUGUCAAAUUUUGGUCAGAAUGUAUCCUCACAGCUACUUACAUCAUAAAUCGUACUCCUACUCCAUUAUUGCACAACAAGAGCCCUUUUGAAAUUUUGUUUGGCGUCAAGCCUCAAUACAACCACAUGAAAGUGUUUGGUUGUUUAACUUUUGCUUCUACUCUCUCACAAGGCCGCAAGAAAUUCGAUCCUAGGAGCAGACCUUCCUUUUUUAUUGGUUAUCCUUUCGGCGUCAAAGGUUACAAGUUACUUGAUUUACAAUCUCACACCAUCUUUAUCUCUCGCAAUGUCAUUUUUCAUGAAACGGCGUUCCCUCUUAAGUCUUCUACACCUAUUCCUUCACAUCAAUCUUUCCCUAAUCAACAUGUUAUCACAAAUCCUAUACCAGACAAUUCUUCAUUUUCUCUUUCUCCACCUACUUCUAUUACCUCCACUCAAUCUCCCAUAAUUCACUCAACCGAUUCCCCUGCACCUCACUCUUCCGAUUCUCCCAUUUCUCACUCCAGUCCUACAUCUUCUCCGCAAACAACAUCUUCACCUGUUAGGCUUGUUGAACCAUCUCUUCGCAGAUCAUGUAGGACUAGAAAUGCUCCUCAAUAUUUACAAGAUUUUCAUUGUAAGCAAGCUGUUUCUACAUAACCUGUACGAGCCACUUCCACCACUUCUUCUCCUUCACUGUCAAGGGUCAAGGGACAAAUUUCAGUGAAGCUGUAAGGAGUCCCCAUUGGGUUAAAGCUAUGGAUAAUGAGUUGAUGGCUCUUGAAAUCAAUAACACUUGGACACUCACUGAUUUACCGCCUGGCAAGGAGGCAGUGGGUUGUAGGUGGGUUUACAAAAUCAAAUAUCAUGCUGAUUGUAGUGUCGAGAGAUAUAAAGCGAGGUUGGUAGCUAAGAGAUUUACACAACAAGAAGGAAUAGAUUAUCAUGAAACAUUUUCCCCCGUAGCUAAGUUGGUUACCAUUAGAUCUCUUUUGGCCAUUGUAGCCAUUAAGGGGUGGCACUUGUAUCAAUUCGAUGUUAACAAUGCCUUUCUCCAUGGAGAUUUAGAUGAGGAAGUGUAUAUGAAGAGACCACCAGGCUACGCUAAAGGAGAACACAAACAAGUUUGCAGGUUGAAUAAAAGUCUUUAUGGCUUGAAACAAGUCUCGAGACAAUGGUAUGCAAAAUUUUCCAGUCUAUUGAUUCAAUUUGGUUAUAUCCAAUCAAAGGCAGAUUACAGCCUCUUCACUCAAAUUAAAGACUCUACAUUCACUGCUCUCUUAGUUUAUGUAGAUGACAUUAUCGUGGCAAGUACUUCUAUGAACUCUAUUCAUGCUUUACAAGCCUUUCUAAGUGAUCAGUUUCAAAUUAAAACACUUGGCGCUCUUAAAUAUUUUCUUGGCAUAGAAGUGGCUCGAUCAGAUCAAGGAAUACAUAUUUUUCAAAGAAAAUAUGCUCUUGACAUCCUAGCUAACUCGGGUGCCCUUGGUGUUAAGCCUUUGAAGCUUCCAAUGGACCCUAAUUUGAAUCUGAGCAAAACCACAGAGGAGUCUCUUACAGAUCCUUCUAUGUAUCGCAGGUUGGUAGGGCGUUUGCUCUAUCUUACUAUCACCAGACCGGACUUGAGUUAUGCAGUCCACAACUUGAGUCAAUUCAUGGAUUCACCAAGGCUUCCACAUCUUCAAGUUGCGAACAACAUUUUGCGCUAUUUGAAGAAUGCUCCUGGCCAAGGGAUUUUAUUUCCCUCUUCAUCUUCACUGACUUUACAAGCCUUCUGUGAUUCUAGUUGGACCUCAUGUCCUGACUCUAGAAGAUCAGUGACAGGUUAUUGCAUUCUCCUAGGACAGUCCUUAAUCUCAUGGCGCUCAAAGAAACAGACCAUUGUAUCUCGAUCAUCUGCAGAAGCCGAGUACAGAGCCAUGGCUAGCACUUGUUGUGAGAUCACUUGGCUAAAAUAUCUUCUUCUUGAUCUCCAGAUUCCUCAUAUCCAACCAGUUGUGUUACAUUGCGACAACCAAGCUGCCUUACAUAUUGCAGCCAACUCGGUGUUUCAUGAACGCACAAAACACAUUGAAUUGGACUGUCAUCUUGUACGAGAUAAAAUUCAAGAAGGCUCUAUCAUCACUAAACAUGUUAGAACACAAUUUCAACUUGCAGACUUGCUUACCAAAGCUUUACCUUCCUCUCUUCUCUUUGCUUAUAUGUCCAAGAUGGGAAUAGUUAACAUCUAUUCUCCAUCUUGCCGGGGGCUCUUGCAGAAUAAGAAAUCCAUCAAGCCCAACAGAUACACAGCAUCAGUAACAAAUCUGUCAUGUGGUCCAUUUUCACCAGCAGCUGCCCAUCUAAGCCCAGAUAUGCAGAAGACAAUUUUUGAUACACAAGACUAGCUAUCUACUGCAAUUAUGACAGAAUAGUGUGAUGUGUAAUUUUUUCUUUUGCUGCAUGUAUAGAGUUGGUUAGGUUGGAAUAUUCUUUUUGUCUCGUCUAUGUGUAUAUAACGUAAGGUGUGUAUAAUUAAUUUUUCAGCAAGUUGAUAAAUAUAGAAUGAGAAUUUCUCUUCAAUCAUUUCUGUUCAUUUCCUGAUUCUGUGUUUUACAUUUCAUCAUUUUCCAAAAUUUACAUAUAUGUAUGAUAAUUAAAUAUUUGAUUUUAUUUUAUUAAUCUUUGAAGCUACAGUAUCCAUAUUUUCAAUGAUAUGCAAAAUCAAGGAUAAAAGAAACAUAAGGUUUAUUUAUUACUGAAUUAAUGUAUAUUAUAUAAAUCUCGCACAAGCAAUUUUUCUGGAAUUGUAUAUUAUGUAAAUGCCACCGAAAGCUAUUUUCUAGAAUUGUAAGGAAACACGAAAUUAGAAGGAGAAGUCCAUAAAAAUAUAACUUGCUGCUAGUGCCUCAAAAUUUGAAGUUCAGCGAUAAUUUUACGUAUGUUCAUUUCAUAACUUCUGCACAUCGUAAUUCAUGUGAUGAAAUCAUACAAAUGGUCAUUUUAUUUUACAUCAUAGCCAACAAAUAUGAAAUUGAUUUGACAAAUAAAAUAUAUUUCAAAUUCCACAUGCAGAUGGAUUCAUAACAUAAAGGAAUAAAUUUUAGACAUGUUACACUGAAUUUAAUUUAUUAUCUUUAUUAGAUCCAGUUACAAUAGCAACACUUAAUCAUUCACUAACCAAGGACCCCUUCUAACUUGAGAAAAGAAGUGAGUAUACGAGAAUACUCAAUAGGACACGAGUAUUACAUAGUCCCAAAUAAAAAUAUAAACUCUUGCAUCAAAAUAAUAAUAACGUAUAUCGUAUCUUUAAAAAUCUGAUAAAAGCUUACAUCAUAUCAUAUCGCGUAAAUUCAUCGGCAUAAUCUUUAUUAACAAGAAGUAAUAAAAUUAAAUGGAACAAAUCACUUGCACCUCAAAAUCCUACCUUGAUUGAUAAAAAGAGGUUUUUUUUUUUUUUUAAAUUUAAAAAAGGCAAUAGUUUUACGAUUUAAGAGGGUUUUUGAGCCCCAAUUUUAUGAAAAGUGUAUUUUAUAAUAGUAGAUUAAUGGAAAAUGUGUAGUUGAAAAAUAUGAAAAAGAUUUUUAUUUACUUGUAAUAUUAUUUUAAUGAAUAAUGCAUGAUUGAAAAGAAGAGAGAGAAAAAUAUAUUUUUAGAGAAUAAAUAUCAAACAAGAUGUAAGACUUUUCUCCGAUAUAGUGCGUGUAUAUCCAACUUUUAUUCCGAACUUGAAAUAUUUAUUUAAGGUAGACAAAAAUUCUUUACUUGUAUACUAUCAAUGAUAUUUGUAUUACAACAUAAAGCCACGUGUUUUUCCACGUAAGUGGCUCAAUUUAUUGGUUUGUCUUUUGAUGAGUACGUUUCUUCAAUUCAUUUCAAACUCAAACAAGAUAGUUUACCUAAUUUUAAACCAAGGACAGCUGAUAUAUUGAUAGCACAAUGUCAUGAUUUCUGUGUAUUAUGCCAAGAAAAUUGGCCAUAAUAUAUUAUAUAAUAGUUCAUUCAAACCUUUGAAAUUAUUAUUAAUUUUUUUUUCCCUUUCAAGUGUAAUCUACACAUCAAAAACAAAUCAUAGCCAACUAAAAAGGUAUUUCUCCAUUUCAACCAGAAGUACAUGUGGCUGAAUUGGAAAGAUUUUUGAAUCAAUAUUAACUGAAUUAAUUAAGAGUUAAGGUAAUAUCAUUCAACCUCAAUAUCAUGGACAUAACUUAUUUGAAAUAAUUAUUUCUCGAGUUCAAGGUGGUUUAUUUAAUACAAGCUACAUAAUGAACCCAAAAAUUGUAUAUUAAUUCUAGCUCUAUCUUUUCAAUUGAUUUGUCAAUCUUUGAGAUCGAAAUGUUCCGAAUGUUCCUUGAAAUUCUUGCUCCCAACUAGUACAUUCCAAAAUCACCGUUACUCAUGCAUCUUUCCCCCUAGCCAUGAUGGAACGAUAUUGGAUCAAAUGACAAAGGAGGGGACUUUCUCUCCCUAGUCAAGGCAUUCAGUCUUUCCAAGCUCAAAAUUUUGUAGUAUAGUCUUGCUAGAAAGACAACACGUUAGCUGUAAUGCCCUCGACUGAUUCUAAGGUUCAGGAAAGGAUGCUUUUAACAUCAACUUUUGAAGUUACGAGCUGGAGGAAGUCUUCUUUUAUUAAAGGUCAAACCCCAACCUUGAGGGCCCCCAUCGCCCCGCCCCUAAAGCUUUGUGAGGGAGAUAAAUCGCGGGAUGUACUCCAACAGGUCAGAGAACAAGAGCUGUCUGUACACUGCACCUACAAGGAGUCCAAUUCAAUGUCUUAGGAAUAGAACCCCCACACUGUAGCUGCGAGCAAGAUUUGAGAUAACCUCACUCCUAUCGUUUGCAUCACUGGGCUAUGCCCGGGGGGCAAGUCUUCUUUUAUUUCUCAACACUGAAGUAAGGAAUUCAUGGGCUAUUUGUCCCCCAAUUAACACCUAUGAAGGCCUUACGUGGGCAUAGCUUCACCGCUGGCCCCUUUUGGUCCCCAACCACCCUACAUGUACAGGGUUAUUUUUGCCAAAUAUUUUACAGGUAUUCACAUUAGUGGGGGCCGCGUUAAUUUUUUAUUUUUUUUAUACAUGUAGGGCCCUCGCUACAGUGAGGGCCCCUGUAUAAACCCUGUAGAAAAAGCCCUGUACAAUGGGCUUUUUCCUUUGGUCCCAAAUCUUUGGGGUUGAUUUUAUAUAUAUAGCAUUGAAAACAGUUAAUUCUUCACACACAAGACAACCUGGUUUCCAGCAAAAAAAUGUGUUUUCUUCUCCUAGCCAUUCUCUCUCUCAAAAAGUUUUUCUCUCACAUCUUCUUUCAUUCAAGGUUGGAUACAUUAGUCUCUUUCUUGAAUUUAAUGUAUUUCGUGAUAUUGUGUUUUGGUUUAGGAUGUUGGAAUUCCAAAUUACACAGGAAUGUUUGGUGAAUCCCCCUAUGCUCCUCUAGAAUUGGAAGAUUUCCCAGAAGUAAAUUUACCUGAAAUUACAAAGCUGUCCAAAUCUGAAACACUUGGCGAAUUCGACAGAUAUAAGGAGUACGUAAAUGGGUUCACGGCGUUGGAAGAAAUUUAUACUUUAUGUUCUACACAUGAGAACUCGAGCAAAUCAAAUUUUGCAUGUUAAUUAAAAUCUAUUAGAUGCGCCUAAUUAUUGUGUUACCGAGGAUAUAAUCUUUAUAAAGGGAUUAUUUUUUAUUUUUUUAUUUUUUUGAGUUUCUUUGUUAUAAAUGAGGGCGGUUUUUUUAUUUUUUAUUUUUAUUUUUAUUUUUGCAAAGCAUUGGGCGAUUGGUUAAUAAUUUUUUCUAAUUUUAAAGUGUAUUUUUUCCCAUAAGAUAGUCAUUUUUUUUAAAAGAUAAAUAUAUUGAUUGUAACUUAAAUAUAAACUCUAGGUUAAUAUAAUUCCAUGUCUUUCAAAAAAUAUAUAUACACUCGAAUGAUCUAAUAAGCACCGGUAUUCAUAUUAUGUUUAGCAUCGAUGAUGCAUCUAUAAACAUGUUGGUUGAUAACUUGAUGGUGGGACCUCAACAUUUGAAUUAAAUUGAAAAUUCGUUAAUGAAUUUAUAUGACACGUCACCGAAUGUAUAUGAUUUAAUAAGCAAGGUGUUCAUCAUAUAUUAAGUACCAAUGAUGUGUCUAUAAUGUACAAAUUCAACAAUGAAAUUAGGGGAUUCCUAGAUCAAAAUCUAUGAUGUGCUAUAUAUCUAUUAAUAAAUUUUUUGUGUUGUUAAAGAAAAAUGUAAUCGGUGAGUUGGUUGGAUAUUGAUAGAUUACAUCUAUGUUUGUCUUCCAUUAAAAAUAAAUUUUUUGAGGAAAAUAAGUUUUUAAAUAGUGAUUUUUUGAAUAGUGUGUGGUUAAAAAGUAAGAAAAGAUUUUGAUUUUUCGAGCAAAACAUUUUAUUUUAUCGACAUAUGGUUGAAAAUGAGUUUGAGAAGAAGAGAGUUUUGAUUUAAUGGAAAAAAUAAGGACUAAGUAAAUAAGAUUUUUACUCGACAUUAUAGAAAUGUGAUACAUGCUAAACAUCUCUAGAAUUAUCUUAGUGAAAAUAAUAUUAUGAUGUAAUAGCAUACCGAAAAAGAGAUUAUUCAAGAAGUACCGAAUACUUCUAUUGAGAAUGACCAGGAUUUAGCUAAUAGCAGUGAUACAUCGAUUGUGUCUCCAAGUGAAGCAAUGCAAGCAUUGCAAUCAUAAAUACUUACUUUCUUACAUGCAUAUUUUUGGUGAAAAAAAAACAAACCAACAGCAAAAAGUAGAAAUUUUCAAUUAAGAAGUUGCUUAAUAUGUAUUUAACCAAAUAAUAUUUUAUAUUUCCAUUGGGCCCUAAAUGAUUUUAAAUAAAAUUCUUAUCUUAUGCAUUUAGCGAGAUAAAGAAUUUAGUAUACUGUUUCGAGUUAAGAUAAAAAAAAUUUAUUAUUUAAGUUAGAUUAUUAAUUUAUCGAAUAUUUAUUUAUUGAAGAUUUACAGAAUUUUUCAAAGGUUGAUCAUUCAGAAAAGUUGAAUGUGGAUGAAAGUGCAAAUGACCCUAAAGGUUGGGAGGUUUAGUGUAAUUUACCCAAAUGAAUAUAUGCUCAAAGUUGGGGUGAUCUCAGGCAUUUUUUUUUCACCUAUUGACAUAUUCAAUCCAAAAAAACCUCGAGGCCCUGUUUGGUUAACUUUAUUUUUCUAUCCAAAUUCUUAUUUUUGGGGUGUGUAUUUGACAAAUUUUUUCGUGAAAAAUAUUUUUCAACGUAUGAUCAUGUGAUCAUAUUUUCCUAAAAAAAAUAAGAAAAACAUUUUGUUAAGGGAAAUGGGAUUUUUAUUUUUUAAGCAAAUUCUUGCUCUCAUUUAUUCCUCCUCUCAUCUAUUUAACAAUAAAAAAAUGGAUAAGUAUAAUAUUUUUUUAGGUUCAAAACUAUCAAUCAAAUGCAUUUAAUUAAUAAUUUUCAUAUAAAUAAAUUUUAAGGAAUUGAAUUGCUAGAAUUUUUUUUUCUUUUCAUACAAAUUCAAUACACACAAACGCACCUGAUUGGAAUUGGGACUAUGCUUGAUGCACAUCGGAGCGUACAUCAAGGUAUCCAGCCCCUCAUAUGGAGGGGAUACACUCCGAAUAAUUGUAAAUAUCUUAAUGAAUAUUUCUUGAUGUGCAAGUGGAAUAAUCUUUGAACUGGAUCCGAAUUGCACGGGUUUCUUCGUCUGUAUGCUAUCAAACUAAGUGUAAAGGAUGUGUUGUACGCUUAGCAUUCUUUCUCUGCCUUAAAAUUCGUUUGGGAAUGAUUUUAAGAAUUAAUUUUGUGAUCGUUAGGAAAAAAGUGGAGUCACCUGUAACAAAAUAAGUCAAAUUUUACAGCUAAAAUAGUUAAAUAAUACCAAAAAAUUAAUUUUUUGAAAUGAAAAAUCCGUUCUAAACAAGCUCUUAUUUUUCUAGAGAGACGAAUUGGGAUUGGUCUGCCUGCCGCCCUUGUAAUGAAAAAACUGGGAAGAAAGUUCGAAGUCAAAUUAGAAGAAAGAGCGUGAGAUAUAUACCAAACCUCAUAAAUUUCCGUCUCUCUCUAUUACUUUUAAAACCCAUGUUCUUAAAUUGAUCUCGAUCAGAUUCAGAACCCUUUUAUUUAUUAAUCUUCGCCCAUAUUUCUAUCUGAUCUAUCAUUAGUUUUUCACGAUAAUUUUUGAAAAGAAAGGAAAAUAUAUACUGUCAAGUGAUGAACUCGAAUUCUCCAUCAACGAGUGCGGGAGGACCUGGAUCGGCCGAUUCAACAGCGCCCAGAAGGAAUUCCAAGCGACCCAAAUGUAUUUUCCUCUCCCUACACAUUCUGUUUUUUAGUAUCUUAAUUAUUCUUAUUUUUAUUGAAUAAUGAUAUUUAAUUUGGGAAUUGAUAAGUAGUGUGAAAACAAUUGUCUUUAAUUGAAAAUUUAAUUGGGUUGGGUGAGGGGUUUUUCUUUUAAUCCUUGUUAAUUUGUAUAUAGCUGGGAAGUGCAGUGAGCAUGUUAUUUUAUGUAAUCACAAAGGGUACCUGUACAAUACUAAAAGAUUUGGCUGCUAAUCUUCUCCAAUUUCAUACUCAUGUUUGCUGCCAACAGUAGUAAACUUGAGUUAAGUCGAAUUAUAUCUGUGUGGGUUUUUACUCAAGGCAUAUUAAGGCUUGGAAAUAAUUUUAGCCCCUCUUUGAUCCUAUUAAAUUAAAUUAUAUUACAUUUCAUUUUUCUCCCUCCUAUUUUCAACUACACAAUCUUCCAUAAAAUAAUAUUACAAGUCGAAAACUUUUUCUUCUUUUUCAACCACUCACUUUUCUAAAAAAUAUUAUUCCCCCAUUUUCAUUUUCAGGUAAUGGGCAGCAAACAGGGGCUAGUAUCAAAAGCAUUUUUAUCAACAUAAUGCAUCAUUGACUAAAUCUAUUAUUCAUAUGAAUUUAAUUGGCAAACUGAUUUACCUACAAGAGAUUCUGAAAUAAGUAAAUUACAACGACACCCCAGAUGUAUGCGUCUAUAGGCUUGUUUUCAAUGAGAGAUGAUCCAAACCUAGUUCCAGCUCUUCAGGUCUUGAGUAGCUCAAUAGUUUGGGUUCUUGAAGCUCACAUGUUAGAAUUAGCAGGGAUUAAAAUCCAGCGAGCUUGGGUUGGGAAGUGCUUAAUGACUCACAGGGAAUGCACUGGCCAAUACUUCUUUUUUCAUCGGUUGUUUUGUACCACAAUCAUACUCCUUGCCUGAGUUUGAGCAAGUGAUGUAGUUGAAGACUUGAAGUGAAUAAAUGGUUAACUGAGGUAGAAGUGCAUAUGAACCAUAUAAAGAUUGCCUAAAAAGUUAGCUGCAGACCGUUAUACAUUUCUCCUAUUGAUUUAUUAUCAAUGACAAAGAUUGAGCACAUAUCUAUGUGAUAUUAAGUUGUACUUAUUGACACUGUCUUGGAAUUUUCGUGGAGGAUACUUGUUUUUAACUCAGUACAAGUAUCAUCCAUAGGAUGAAACUACCUAUUUCAUAAGGGCAGUUUCAAAAUGUGAAAAACAAUUGUUUCACUUGCUAAAACAUGGGAAUGUUGCAAAACCGAAUGUUUUGGCUUUCUAUUUCAUUUGGAGGUUGCAUUAGUUAGUAAAAUAUGGGAAUAUAAUUCAAUACCUUUCUUCAUCUUCAGAAUAAAUUGCGAAGCAAUAAUAUAUGUAUUUUGAUCACAAUUUGGAUUUUGAUUGAUUAAAGCAUCAUUACUGUUUUUGUUAUCUCUUCAGAUUCAAGGUUUACACAACAAGAACUUCCAGCAUGCAAGCCUAUUCUGACACCUAAAUGGGUAAAUAUUAUAAACUGUUUCUACACAUUACUGGUGCCUUAUUGUAAUUUACCACAUUAUGGGGAUUUAUUUUACCUAUGGAUUUACUUCCUCUCAUAAACUUUGUUCCGUGCAGGUGAUUUCAGCUUUCUUACUUGUUAGCAUUGUCUUCAUUCCCAUUGGCCUUGUCUCGCUAUUUGAUUCCCAGGAUGUAUGCUCAGUACUUCCUAACCUAUCGUUCUUUUGCUUUUUGUGCUUCCCUCACUAAAGUGGUUUCUUUUCAUCAGGUUGUUGAGAUUAUUGAUCGAUAUGAGACUGAUUGCAUUCCAUUAGAUUCAAGAAAUGAUAAGGUUGGAUUUAUUCAAAGUCCUCAAGAUAAAACCUGCCACAGAAAUCUGACGGUGAGUUUCAAUUCAAUGGUAUAUGAGUUUUACCAUGGCAAUUGCAUUUUAAAUUUCAGUAUAAUUAUAAAAUCUAACAUUUGAUAACUAUUGAUUAAUCAUCAGGUUCCAAAACUCAUGAAACGGCCCAUUUAUGUAUAUUAUCAGCUUGACAAUUUCUACCAAAAUCAUCGGAGGUACUUUCAUUGUUUCUAUAUUCUGACAUUAAAUUCGGUAAAUGAAAUAUUGAACUGUUUCUUUGAUGCAAUAUUUUGGAUUUCUACCUCUAUGGAUGAGUGUUAGUGAUUCCUUGUUUUUAUUAUAGAUAUAGAACUCUUCUAUAAGAGAAAUGAUUCCACUGAAAAUUUAAUUUUAUUCUCUCUUCUGGUAUCUUGUAAUAGUUGUCUAUUUGAAAUCUUUUGCACUUUGAUAGGAAUUCUUCAUGACUAUAUUAAUUUAUUAUUCCUUUUUAUUUUCAAACUAUGUGGCUGAUAUGUAUGCCCUUCCAAGAUAUGUGAAGAGCCGAAGUGAUCAGCAACUGAGAAAUCCAGGAGAUGAAGGUGACACAAGUGCCUGUGAGCCUGAAGACACUGCCCAUGGGAUGCCAAUUGUGCCUUGUGGUCUUAUAGCCUGGAGCCUGUUCAAUGAUACUUACAACUUCACACUCAAUAACCUACUGGUGACCAUAAACAAGACGGGUAUCUCGUGGAAGAGUGAUAAAGAUCACAAAAAUAUGCAUUAAAUUUAAUAAAAAAAAUAUAAUGGCAAGAAUAAGUAUAACUUCAAAAAAAAAUCUCAAAGAAAUAUUUUUUUUUUUUACCAUUUCAUCGACAUUCUUCAAAAAUUCAUAUUUGAAUAUAAAUUAAGGUUAAAAAAAAUAAUAAUAAACAGAAAAUAAGCCCCUGUUUUGAUGGAGAUUUUGGAUAAUAGAUUUUGUGAAAAGUGAUUUUUAUGGAGAACAUGGUUAAAAAGUAUGGAAAAGUUAUAGAUCCAAGUGUGAAAUUAUUUUGUUGAGAGAAUAUAUGGUUAACAAUGAGUUUGGGAAAAAUUAUUUUUAGAAAAUGGGGAACAAACAGGGGCUAAGAUGCUUCCACUGUUACGAACGUAUCUGAUUUCUGUCUUGAGAGAUCUUAUGAAAAGUAGAAAAGUGAACUGGAUAGUGGAUAUUCAAUUUGUUGCUUUGGCAGUUCGUAUACUUGCUACUUGUACUUCUUCUCUCAUCUUGAGUAGUAUUUCAAACUUGUCCCAGAUGACACUCCGAAGCGACGUGAUGCGAGAUCAUGCUUAAGCUUGUCUUUUAGUGCGAGACUGCUAUGUUAACUGAUAUGUAUAAAUUUUUCAGUCCUGUUAUUUAUUUCUAUUAAUUUGCUUUCUAGACUCGGCUAAUCAUCAGUUACUGAUAUGUUAAUAUUGAACAGUUGAGUGAGCAGGAGGACCUUAUUGUUUGGAUGCGAACUGCAGCACUUCCAACUUUCAGAAAACUAUAUGGGAAAAUAGAGGUGGAUCUUCAGGCUGGCGAUGUCAUUAAUGUGGAAUUGCAAAAUAAUUAUAACACCUAUAGUUUCGAUGGCAAGAAGAAACUCGUCCUUUCUACCACCAGCUGGCUUGGAGGAAAGAAUGACUUUCUUGGUAUUGCAUAUCUUGUUGUGGGUGGAUUGUGCUUCUUUCUCUCCUUGGUUUUCACAAUUAUCUAUCUAGUUAAGCCAAGGUACGUUUUAGUGCCUACAUUGUUUCCUCAUCUCAUAGUAUUUUUGUGGAAGUAAAUUUUUUGAGCAAAAAAACCUUUACCACUAUUAGAUGAAAACUAUAAUCGAUCUCACCUGCUGCCACGUGUUCUCACCACAUGCCAGAUUAUCCAAACUAACUGUAACAAAAUUCAUAUUUGAAUAUAAAUUAAGGUUAAAAAAAAAUAAUAAACAGAAAAUAAGCCCCUGUUUUGAUGGAGAUUUUGGAUAAUAGAUUUUGUGAAAAGUGAUUUUUAUGGAGAACAUGGUUAAAAAGUAUGGAAAAGUUAUAGAUCCAAGUGUGAAAUUAUUUUGUUGAGAGAAUAUAUGGUUAACAAUGAGUUUGGGAAAAAUUAUUUUCAGAAAAUGGGGAACAAACAGGGGCUAAGAUGCUUCCACUGUUACGAACGUAUCUGAUUUCUGUCUUGAGAGAUCUUCUGAAAAGUAGAAAAGUGAACUGGAUAGUGGAUAUUCAAUUUGUUGCUUUGGCAGUUCGUAUACUGGCUACUUGUACCUCUUCUCUCAUCUUGAGUAGUAUUUCAAACUUGUCCCAGAUGACACUCCGAAGCGACGUGAUGCGAGAUCAUGCUUAAGCUUGUCUUUUAGUGCGAGACUGCUAUGUUAACUGAUAUGUAUAAAUUUUUCAGUCCUGUUAUUUAUUUCUAUUAAUUUGCUUUCUAGACUCGGCUAAUCAUCAGUUACUGAUAUGUUAAUAUUGAACAGUUGAGUGAGCAGGAGGACCUUAUUGUUUGGAUGCGAACUGCAGCACUUCCAACUUUCAGAAAACUAUAUGGGAAAAUAGAGGUGGAUCUUCAGGCUGGCGAUGUCAUUAAUGUGGAAUUGCAAAAUAAUUAUAACACCUAUAGUUUCGAUGGCAAGAAGAAACUCGUCCUUUCUACCACCAGCUGGCUUGGAGGAAAGAAUGACUUUCUUGGUAUUGCAUAUCUUGUUGUGGGUGGAUUGUGCUUCUUUCUCUCCUUGGUUUUCACAAUUAUCUAUCUAGUUAAGCCAAGGUACGUUUUAGUGCCUACAUUGUUUCCUCAUCUCAUAGUAUUUUUGUGGAAGUAAAUUUUUUGAGCAAAAAAACCUUUACCACUAUUAGAUGAAAACUAUAAUCGAUCUCACCUGCUGCCACGUGUUCUCACCACAUGCCAGAUUAUCCAAACUAACUGUAACGUUGGAGGAUCCUCCAAUAACUCACUUUUUAAACGAGCAUGUGCAGUACUUUGUGUUCCUGAGCCAAAGUUCUAGACCGAGCCUUCACCGGGGACCUUUCUUAUUCUGCUGUCAUUCCCUUACCAUGAACCUAUUCUUCUUUGGCAAAAAGUCAUUGAUAUGUAAUCUUUGUUUCAG
Molecule: long non-coding RNA, 43849 nt
Filed under: Olea europaea (common olive)
Lineage: Eukaryota; Viridiplantae; Streptophyta; Magnoliopsida; Lamiales; Oleaceae
Description: long non-coding RNA (OEUR_LNC005024)
Source: RNAcentral